UGAUCCAGCAAUGCCGCGUGUGCGAAGAAGGCCUUCGGGUUGUAAAGCACUUUUGUCAGGGAAGAAAUCCUUUGGGCUAAUACCCUAGGGGGAUGACGGUACCUGAAGAAUAAGCACCGGCUAACUACGUGCCAGCAGCCGCGGUAAUUAUAAAGA
RNAcentral lists this ribosomal RNA (156 nucleotides) under uncultured bacterium. RNAcentral describes it as "partial 16S ribosomal RNA". It matches the Rfam family "Bacterial small subunit ribosomal RNA", at positions 384 to 531 of the family's 1533-position model. The record is from RNAcentral.